Molecule: non-coding RNA, 109 nt
Filed under: Streptococcus oralis
Lineage: Bacteria; Bacillati; Bacillota; Bacilli; Lactobacillales; Streptococcaceae
Also listed under: 1 other name
Description: Streptococcus RNA 266
Rfam family: Streptococcus RNA 266
Source: RNAcentral
AUGAUGGUUUGGUCGCUUUUCAUUAUAGAUCUUAUGGGACUUUUUUUUCUACAACAAAAUAGGCUCCAUAAUAUCUAUAGGGGGUUACCCACUACAAAUAUUAUAGAGC